Cinara cedri is the source of this 290-nucleotide non-coding RNA. The record is from the annotation of a GenBank genome assembly. NCBI's taxonomy places the organism in Eukaryota, Metazoa, Arthropoda, Insecta, Hemiptera, Aphididae.
AAAAUAGUCAUCAGUUCUGUUUCAAACAGAGGACAGUAUAAUUAUUUACUACAGAGGAAUUAUUUCAACGGAAACGCGGUUUUAUCGGUAUAUUUAAAUUGUCUAAACAUUAUAUCUCGUCCAAUUGUAUUAAGGGCGAAAACGCAGUUGACGACGUGACGUCCAGAAAUGCUAAUUAUGUUUCAAAAUAUAUAUUUAGUAAAAUCUUUAAUUGUUAGACUGCAGCGGUUUUUCGUUUCGAUACACCAUUAAGUCUACAAACACAUGUAAAAGCACCCGAAAGUGGAGUA